AGUGAACGCUGGCGGUAGGCCUAACACAUGCAAGUCGAACGGCAGCACAGUAAGAGCUUGCUCUUACGGGUGGCGAGUGGCGGACGGGUGAGGAAUACAUCGGAAUCUACUUUUUCGUGGGGGAUAACGUAGGGAAACUUACGCUAAUACCGCAUACGACCUACGGGUGAAAGCAGGGGAUCUUCGGAACUUGCGCGAUUGAAUGAGCCGAUGUCGGAUUAGCUAGUUGGCGGGGUAAAGGCCCACCAAGGCGACGAUCCGUAGCUGGUCUGGGAGGAUGAUCCGCCACACUGGAACUGAGACACGGUCCAGACUCCUACGGGAGGCAGCAGUGGGGAAUAUUGGACAAUGGGCGCAAGCCUGCUCCAGCCAUACCGCAUGGGUGAAGAAGGCCUUCGGGUUGUAAAGCCCUUUUGUUGGGAAAGAAAAGCAGCAGGUUAAUACCCCGCUGUUCUGACGGUACCCAAAGAAUAAGCACCGGCUAACUUCGUG
This 492-nucleotide ribosomal RNA is filed under the name uncultured bacterium. RNAcentral describes it as "partial 16S ribosomal RNA". It matches the Rfam family "Bacterial small subunit ribosomal RNA", at positions 29 to 507 of the family's 1533-position model. The record is from RNAcentral.